RNAcentral lists this ribosomal RNA (484 nucleotides) under uncultured bacterium. RNAcentral describes it as "partial 16S ribosomal RNA". It matches the Rfam family "Bacterial small subunit ribosomal RNA", at positions 28 to 507 of the family's 1533-position model. The record is from RNAcentral.
AUUGAACGCUGGCGGCAUGCUUUACACAUGCAAGUCGAACGGCAGCGCGGGCUUCGGCCUGGCGGCGAGUGGCGAACGGGUGAGUAAUGCAUCGGAACGUGCCCAGUAGUGGGGGAUAGCCCGGCGAAAGCCGGAUUAAUACCGCAUACGACCUGAGGGUGAAAGCGGGGGACCGAAAGGCCUCGCGCUAUUGGAGCGGCCGAUGUCGGAUUAGCUAGUUGGUGGGGUAAAGGCUUACCAAGGCGACGAUCCGUAGCUGGUCUGAGAGGACGACCAGCCACACUGGGACUGAGGCACGGCCCCGACUCCUAAGGGAGGCAGCAGUGGGGAAUUUUGGACCAUGGGGGCAACCCUUAUCCAGCCAUGGCGCGUGCGGGAAGAAGGGCUUCGGGUUGUAAACCGCUUUUGUUCGGGAAGAAAUCCUCUGGGCUAAAACCCCGGGGGGAUGACGGUACCGGAAGAAUAAGCACCGGCUAACUACGUG